CCUGGCUCAGAUUGAACGCUGGCGGCAGGCCCUAACACAUGCAAGUCGAGCGGUAGAGAGAAGCUUGCUUCUCUUGAGAGCGGCGGACGGGUGAGUAAUGCCUAGGAAUCUGCCUGGUAGUGGGGGAUAACGCUCGGAAACGGACGCUAAUACCGCAUACGUCCUACGGGAGAAAGCAGGGGACCUUCGGGCCUUGCGCUAUCAGAUGAGCCUAGGUCGGAUUAGCUAGUUGGUGAGGUAAUGGCUCACCAAGGCGACGAUCCGUAACUGGUCUGAGAGGAUGAUCAGUCACACUGGAACUGAGACACGGUCCAGACUCCUACGGGAGGCAGCAGUGGGGAAUAUUGGACAAUGGGCGAAAGCCUGAUCCAGCCAUGCCGCGUGUGUGAAGAAGGUCUUCGGAUUGUAAAGCACUUUAAGUUGGGAGGAAGGGCAUUAACCUAAUACGUUGGUGUCUUGACGUUACCGACAGAAUAAGCACCGGCUAACUCUGUGCCAGCAGCCGCGGUAAUACAGAGGGUGCAAGCGUUAAUCGGAAUUACUGGGCGUAAAGCGCGCGUAGGUGGUUCGUUAAGUUGGAUGUGAAAUCCCCGGGCUCAACCUGGGAACUGCAUUCAAAACUGACGAGCUAGAGUAUGGUAGAGGGUGGUGGAAUUUCCUGUGUAGCGGUGAAAUGCGUAGAUAUAGGAAGGAACACCAGUGGCGAAGGCGACCACCUGGACUGAUACUGACACUGAGGUGCGAAAGCGUGGGGAGCAAACAGGAUUAGAUACCCUGGUAGUCCACGCCGUAAACGAUGUCAACUAGCCGUUGGGAGCCUUGAGCUCUUAGUGGCGCAGCUAACGCAUGAAGUGAACGCUUUGGGGACCGC
Molecule: ribosomal RNA, 871 nt
Filed under: Pseudomonas migulae
Lineage: Bacteria; Pseudomonadati; Pseudomonadota; Gammaproteobacteria; Pseudomonadales; Pseudomonadaceae
Description: bacterial SSU rRNA
Rfam family: Bacterial small subunit ribosomal RNA
Source: RNAcentral